GACUCCUUGAGAGUCCUGAAGGGACGUUGAAGACUACGACGUUGAUAGGCCGGGUGUGUAAGCGCAGCGAUGCGUUGAGCUAACCGGUACUAAUGACCCGUGAGGCUUAACCUUACAACGCCAGAGGCGUUU
Molecule: ribosomal RNA, 132 nt
Filed under: Pantoea agglomerans
Lineage: Bacteria; Pseudomonadati; Pseudomonadota; Gammaproteobacteria; Enterobacterales; Erwiniaceae
Description: partial 23S ribosomal RNA
Rfam family: Bacterial large subunit ribosomal RNA (bases 1-114)
Source: RNAcentral